This 253-nucleotide ribosomal RNA is filed under the name uncultured bacterium. RNAcentral's name for it is "partial 16S ribosomal RNA". It matches the Rfam family "Bacterial small subunit ribosomal RNA", at positions 524 to 776 of the family's 1533-position model. The record is from RNAcentral.
GACGAACCGUGCAAACGUUGUUCGGAUUCACUGGGCUUAAAGGGCGCGUAGGCGGUUCGUUAAGUCGUGGGUGAAAUUUUUCGGCUCAACCGGAAAACUGCCCCCGAUACUGGCGAGCUGGAGGAAGGCAGGGGCAGCGGGAACUACCAGUGGAGCGGUGAAAUGCGUUGAUAUUGGUAGGAACGCCGGUGGCGAAAGCGCGCUGCUGGACCUUUCCUGACGCUGAGGCGCGAAAGCUAGGGGAGCAAACGGG